AUGUAUAUUGAUGUUAUCAAUUUGAACUCCAUUCCUACAUCUAAAAAUAUUUGGGACGUCAAAGUUCCUUUGAAAAUAAAAGUGUUUAUGUGGUUUGUCCAUAAACAAGUUAUUUUAAUUAAGGAUAAUUUGAUAAAGCGUAAUUGGACAGGACCUACUAGGUGUAGUUUCUGCGAUCGGGAUGAGACUAUCAAACACCUCUUUUUUGAUUGCCCGUUGGCCAAGGUACUUUGGCAGACAGUCUACAUUGCCUUUAAUAUCACUCCACCGAAUUCUGUUAAUGCGUUAUUUGGGACUUGGCUUAAUGGGAUUGAGUCUGGCUUAGCGAGACAUAUUCGGGUUGGAGUUUGUGCUUUGCUGUGGACUCUCUGGACUUGCAGAAAUGAUUUGGUCUUUAACAGAUUAUCAUGUAUACAUUUUUUGCAGGUCAUUUUCCGAUCUACGGCACUGAUCCGUUCGUGGUCGCUACUCACCCAGACGGCGGCCAGGAAGCAUUUGGUUACUGGGUCUUUCCGCUGGGAGAUGGUAGCUCGGGAUAUCUUCAACCGGUUUGGAUGGCGGUCAUGUAAUAGGAUAGGUAUUUAG
Molecule: ribosomal RNA, 585 nt
Filed under: Triticum aestivum (bread wheat)
Lineage: Eukaryota; Viridiplantae; Streptophyta; Magnoliopsida; Poales; Poaceae
Description: partial small subunit ribosomal RNA
Source: RNAcentral